RNAcentral lists this ribosomal RNA (406 nucleotides) under uncultured bacterium. Its description in RNAcentral is "partial 16S ribosomal RNA". It matches the Rfam family "Bacterial small subunit ribosomal RNA", at positions 30 to 526 of the family's 1533-position model. The record is from RNAcentral.
AUUGAACGCUGGCGGCAGGCCUAACACAUGCAAGUCGGGCGAGAGGCGGACGGGUGAGUAAUGUAUGGGGAUCUGCCUGAUGGAGGGGGAUAACUACGGGAAACGGUAGAUAAUAGCGCAUACCAUCAGAUGAACCGAUAGUGGAUUAGCGUUUAGGUAAGGUAACGGCUUACCUAGGCGACGAUCCCUAGCUGGUCUGAGAGGAUGAUCAGCCACACUGGGACUGAGACACGGCCCAGACUCCUACGGGAGGCAGCAGUGGGGAAUAUUGCACAAUGGGCGCAAGCCUGAUGCAGCCAUGCCGCGUGUAUGAAGAAGGCCUUCGGGUUGUAAAGUACUUUCAGUCGGGAGGCGUUACCGACAGAAGAAGCACCGGCUAACUCCGUGCCAGCAGCCGCGGUAAUAC